RNAcentral lists this long non-coding RNA (1294 nucleotides) under Medicago truncatula (barrel medic). RNAcentral's name for it is "lncRNA gene22935". Lineage: Eukaryota; Viridiplantae; Streptophyta; Magnoliopsida; Fabales; Fabaceae. The record is from RNAcentral.
CUUUAUUUAAAAUUUUAUUUUCUUAAAAAAAAAAAACUCAAACAUGGUUCACACACAAACUAUAUCUAUAUAUAGGUAGCAUAUAUAGUCCUUAUAUUUAGACAUAUUAUACAAGUUAUCAUAACAACCAUUCAUGCAUAAUAUAGAUAAAAAAUAAUAAUGCAUAGCUUGCAAUAUCAAUGUUGAUGCAUCGGGCCAUGCUGGUUGUAGAUGUUGUGAAGUGUGAAUGGAAACUCCAUGAAUCGAUAUAAAUUUCAUGUUUUGCUGUAGCUAUGCCAACUUUUACUGUAUUUGGGAGAACAUGUUUCAAAUUAACGACUCCACUAAAUUUGCGAAAAGAGAGAAAUUCAUCCUCAAGAACGGUCAAUGUUUUCGUCGACGAUUCAUAUCGUAUCCCCACUGAAAUCAAUGAUCCACUGUUCCUUGUGAGAGGCACAAUUUUCAGCCAAUUUCUAGAGUUUACAUCGAUUCCAGUAUGUGAAUACGUUGGAUCCUCUUGUUGAAAAUUUUCACCAACAAGAAAGAAGACGAGUUUACCAGGCCGAUCAAUAUAUUUUUCUUUGUCCAUUACGACGAAAGAGAAGGUGGUGUUAAAGUUUGCAAUGUUACCGGUGUUUUUAUUCCAAAUAGGAAUUGGUGUCGAAUACAAGACCCAACCUACAUCCGUAUUAGGGUUUGCAGAGUUAGUCAGUGACAAUAAUCCAUCGGGUAAAAUCUGGGCACUCCCAUAGAGGGUAAAGUUAUCAGUGGCUUGGCUGAAGUUUUUGACAUCAAAGGAAUAAUAAUUUGUGUCAAGCAAUUGGGAAUUCCCUUCUGUUGCUUGCAAGAGAAAGAACAUUGUGAAAACUAAAAAAAGAACAGAAAAUAGAGUUUGAGUUGGAAGAUAUGAGCUAGAGAAAGCCAUGGUAUUGAAGUUUUGAUAUUGAAUUGUGAAUGAAUGUUUGUAAUUUGUCACAUCUAUGUACUUAUAUAAACGCACUUGGGGCUAUUUUUUUAGAAUAAUUUUAGUGCGAGGGCAUGAUGCUUAAGAUAAUUAAAAUUUAAAUAAUUUUUUUUUCUUUUUGGUCAGGUAGUCUAGUGGCUAGAAUUCACCUUUUUUAAGGUGAAUAAGUGGGAUGUCCGGAGUUCGAACCCCGGCCCCUGCAUAUAACAAUGCAUGUCCCUGCCAACUGAGCUAUGCUCACAGAGACAAAUUAAAUAACUUUUUAUUAAUACCAAACCGAACCACAUACAUAAAUGUUAAUACUCAGUAAUCUAUUAGUUUUUUUUAAUAAUACUCAUUAGUAUUUUAUUU